This 253-nucleotide ribosomal RNA is filed under the name uncultured bacterium. Its description in RNAcentral is "partial 16S ribosomal RNA". It matches the Rfam family "Bacterial small subunit ribosomal RNA", at positions 524 to 776 of the family's 1533-position model. The record is from RNAcentral.
UACGUAGGUGGCAAGCGUUGUCCGGAAUUAUUGGGCGUAAAGCGCGCGCAGGCGGUCCUUUAAGUCUGAUGUGAAAGCCCACGGCUCAACCGUGGAGGGUCAUUGGAAACUGGGGGACUUGAGUGCAGGAGAGAAGAGUGGAAUUCCUGGUGUAGCGGUGAAAUGCGCAGAUAUCAGGAAGAACACCCGUGGCUAAGGCGGCUCUCUAGUACGGUACUGACGCUGAGACGCGAAAGCGUGGGGAGCGAACAGG